Molecule: unclassified non-coding RNA, 545 nt
Filed under: Hevea brasiliensis (rubber tree)
Lineage: Eukaryota; Viridiplantae; Streptophyta; Magnoliopsida; Malpighiales; Euphorbiaceae
Source: RNAcentral
GUACACGUGGACAGCGAAGGACUUAUGGGUUACGGUGCAAUGUCUUUCCGGCAGACAGUAAUCGACGGGCUGGAAUUUUACUCUACACUACUGGAAUCACUGGAGGCAGCAAAUAUCGGUGGUGGAAAUUGCGGGGAUUGGAUGAGAAAAAUAGAGAAUUUCGUGCUGUUUCCUAAGAUAGUUGAUAUGAUCGGAGCAGUAGGGCGGCGUGGAGGUGGAGGAUCGUGGAGGGAUGCCAUGGUGGAUGCCGGAUUCCGGCCGGUUGGACUAAGCCAGUUUGCCGAUUUUCAAGCAGAUUGUUUAUUGGGUAGGGUACAGGUAAGAGGAUUCCACGUGGCAAAGAGACAAGCAGAGAUGUUGCUUUGCUGGCAUGACAGGGCCCUAGUAGCCACGUCAGCUUGGAGGUGUUAAUAAUAAUAAAUCUAACCCUAAACUAGUUUUAAUUUAAUAAUAGCAGUGAUUUGGAUCUUUAGCUGUAUGGUUCAGUUUUAGGGGUUGGCUUAGCAUAUAUAACAAUAGAUUAAGAAGAAGAAAAAAAAGAAAAA